Molecule: transfer RNA, 81 nt
Filed under: Moorena producens 3L
Lineage: Bacteria; Bacillati; Cyanobacteriota; Cyanophyceae; Coleofasciculales; Coleofasciculaceae
Also listed under: 29 other names
Description: Moorea producens 3L tRNA-Leu
Rfam family: tRNA
About the family: Transfer RNA (tRNA) molecules are approximately 80 nucleotides in length. Their secondary structure includes four short double-helical elements and three loops (D, anti-codon, and T loops).
Source: RNAcentral
GCGGAUGUGGUGGAAUGGUAGACACGCACGCUUGAGGGGCGUGUGGCGAAAGCCAUGCGAGUUCGAGUCUCGCCAUCCGCA